UUCCACAAUCUGUGUAGUAUAAAUUGAAUCUGUUUUAUUUAUGUCAAGAAGUAUCAUUGGAGCAACACUGUGAUGUACAUACGUACACGUAAACAUAAACAUUACGUGCUAUAUCUAUCUCACGAAAAAUAACAAAAGAUACACCAUGACGCGUUGUAUUAUACGUAAGAACUUGUACGCGCUAAUGAAUCGUCAAGUGCGAAGUCAUGCGCGGGAAUUAAUAAUAAAGUGUUGUAUUAAUCGAGAAGUGAAAUUUAUUACCUCGUUGAGUCUAACAACUGAUAUCGGUUAACAUCGGAUUCGGGGAUCUUCGGGACGCAGUCGGGCAAUCUCGGGUAUUCAAUAUCGAUUUGAACCAGCUACCCGAAGUCCCACUUAUAACUAAUACGUUGUACACAUAAUCAGCAGCUACAAAUGCUUGUAAAAAAAAAAACCACUAAGCCCAAAUUACUCAAUACGCGCCCACAACUCGUUAUACCAAUUACCCAAGGGAUAAUUGUAUGACCGAAUAAUUGUAUCACUCGGCUAUUAUUUUCUAAUUUGUUCGAAAGAGCUCAACCUUAUUGGAAUGCUUCGAUUUUUAUUAAACAUCCACGGGUUUAUUCAUUUAUCGCCGAAAUAUGCCUCAACGGUAAUGGUUAACGGCUGGUUACCAUUAUCAUCAGCGAUUAACAUGUGCUAGUUUCAAAUUCAUUCUGGCGUUGGGCAAUAUCAAAUCGGUACACAAAACUCGGAUUCCAAUUUACCAAAUUUAUAAGACUCAACUCACAAGUCAUCAACUUAUGGCACAGUCUUCAUUAUUGACGUUUAAAUAUGUAGAGCGAAAAAUGCAGCUAUAAAAUGUAAUUCUAAUAUGAAAUAAGUGGCUUUCAAUGACAUUUUUGCAGCAAAAUUCAUCAUUGAAAACUACCACUAUUCCAUAUUAGAAAUAGGCAAACAGAAGAAUUUUUGCCGUAAUGGGUCUGUAUCGAGGUGAAAUUGAUUUGGGAUCAACGAGGCAUAAAAACACCGAAAAAAUACGUGAUGCAAUAAUUGAAAUGUCUUAAAGUUUAUUUAUUAACAUCACAGAUACAAUAAUUAUGUACAUAUUUGUUCGAGACCUCCGCUUCGAACUUUGGAGCACCUCGCUGUCAAUCUAAGUACUGAAGUACCAAAUUCCGACUAAGAAUACAGUAUAAAGUAUGUAUACUAACAAGGAGAGUAUCAGACCUCUGAAUCAUGAAUUGUAUUCAAACUUCUACGGUUGAUUCUUUGGCCUAAAAUAUAAAACCUGUAUAAGUAGUUUCAUCACAUAGGACUCUUCACACCAGGUCAAACUAAUUAAAUUAGCAGUUUGGUGAGCGAAAUGCCAUUAUAAGUGACAAGAUACUAUAGAUACAAGUGUAAACGGAUAUAUUAUUAUUUCAGAGCUAUAGUGAAGUAUAAAUUGCGAAUUUUCGACAAUUUUAUUUAUUGUGAAUUGAGUGAAAGAGGGCCCAAAUAGCUGGAACUACGCAUGAGUAACUCGAUAAUUUGAGCCAAGGAUACAUCCCUCAGUCUCAGCAGAAUCUGUGAUUCAGAGGUCUGAUAUUCUCCUUGCAAGUAGUAAGGUUAACGAUGGUUUUUAGGAUUGCAAUAAUUAAUAUAACGAUAUGGUAG
This 1638-nucleotide long non-coding RNA is filed under the name Neodiprion lecontei (redheaded pine sawfly). RNAcentral describes it as "uncharacterized LOC124292639". The record is from RNAcentral. Lineage: Eukaryota; Metazoa; Arthropoda; Insecta; Hymenoptera; Diprionidae.